UACGAAGGGGGCUAGCGUUGCUCGGAAUGACUGGGCGUAAAGGGCGCGUAGGCGGCUUGCACCGUCAGAUGUGAAAUUCCUGGGCUUAACCUGGGGGCUGCAUUUGAUACGUGUGGGCUUGAGUGCGGAAGAGGGUCGUGGAAUUCCCAGUGUAGAGGUGAAAUUCGUAGAUAUUGGGAGGAACACCAGUGGCGAAGGCGACCGCCUGGACGAAGACUGACGCUGAGGCGCGAGAGCGUGGGGAGCAAACAGGA
This 254-nucleotide ribosomal RNA is filed under the name uncultured bacterium. RNAcentral describes it as "partial 16S ribosomal RNA". It matches the Rfam family "Bacterial small subunit ribosomal RNA", at positions 524 to 777 of the family's 1533-position model. The record is from RNAcentral.